CAUUACACGAUUUCGGUUUACACCGUUUUCAUCCUAUGUUUAUACGUACCACAUGUUUCCUCGGGGGGCUUGCCCCCCGUUAGGACACCCCAUAAACCUUUUUGUAAUAGCAGUUAGCGUCUGAAAAACUAAGUUAAUUAUUAAAACUUUCAACAAUGGAUCUCUUGGUUCUGGCAUCGAUGAAGAACGCAGCGAAAUGCGAUAAGUAGUGUGAAUUGCAGAAUUCAGUGAAUCAUCGAAUCUUUGAACGCACAUUGCGCCCCUUGGUAUUCCAUGGGGCAUGCCUGUUCGAGCGUCAUUUGAACCCUCAAGCUUUGCUUGGUGUUGGGUGUUUGUCCCGCUUUUGCGCGUGGACUCGCCUUAAAGUCAUUGGCAGCCAUGUAAUUCGGCUUUGAGCGCAGCACAUUGCGAUCUCUAUGCUGGUACAUUGGCUUCCAGAAGCCUUUUUUAACGCUUGACCUCGGAUCAGGUAGGGAUACCCGCUGAACUUAAGCAUAUCAAUAAGCGGAGGAA
Molecule: ribosomal RNA, 513 nt
Filed under: Ascochyta medicaginicola
Lineage: Eukaryota; Fungi; Ascomycota; Dothideomycetes; Pleosporales; Didymellaceae
Description: eukaryotic LSU rRNA
Rfam family: 5.8S ribosomal RNA (bases 145-298)
Source: RNAcentral